RNAcentral lists this long non-coding RNA (1689 nucleotides) under Salmo salar (Atlantic salmon). Its description in RNAcentral is "lncRNA (ENSSSAG00000112036.1)". The record is from RNAcentral. Lineage: Eukaryota; Metazoa; Chordata; Actinopteri; Salmoniformes; Salmonidae.
CAGACCAUCGUUGAAUAGUCCUUAGCACGGGUACUUCCUGUUUGAGUUUCUGCCUAUAGGAAGGGAGGAGCAAAAUGGAGUCGUGAUCAGACUUGCCGAACGGAGGACGGGGGAAGGCCUUGUGGGCAUCCCGGAAGUUCGAGUAACAGUGGUCGGGUGUUUUAACAGCGUGAGUACUACAGUCGAUGUGCUGAUAGAACUUCGGUAGCGUUUUCCUCAAAUUUGCUUUGUUAAAAUCUCCAGCUACAAUAAAUGCGGCCUUAGGAUAUGUGGUUUCCAGUUUGCAUAAAGUCCAGUGAAGUUCUUUGAGGGCCGUCCUGGUGUCGACUUGAGGGGGAAUAUGUACGGGUCUGACUUUAACCGAAGAGAAUUCUCUUGGGAGGUAAUACAGCAUUUUAUUGUGAGGUAUUCUAGGUCGGGUGAACAAAAGGACUUGACUUCCUGUAUGUUAUCACAAGCACACCAUGAGUAGUUAAUCAUGAAACAUACACCCCCACCCUUCUUCUUCCCGGAGAGAUAUUUGUUCCUGUCUGCGCGAUGAACUGAGAACCCAACUGGCUGUACGGACUCAGACAGUAUAUCCCGAGAGAGCCAUGUUUCCGUGAAACAGAGUGUUACAAUCCCUAAUGACUCUCUGGAAGGAAAUCCUCGCCCUAAGUUCGUCAACUUUAUUAUCCAGACUGGAAGAGAUACAGAGAGCUGUGAAAGCCUGUAUGCAGAUGAGGUCCCAAAACAAUUGCUGACAAUUGCCAUGUAGGGCACUGCCUCGUGGGGGAAUUCAAGUAUGUGUGAAAGCUAUCUGUGUCCUGCAUAACUUCAUGAUAGACAUGAGGACCAGGAGGGGACCUGCAGCUCGCCACCAUCUGCCAUAGGAGAGGUCUGCUGCUCUGCAGGAUGUUCCAAAGAUCGGGGCCAACAACACAGCUCGGGAGACAAUCCGUAUGCAGGAGAUCUUCACCUCCUACUUCUUCUAAGAGGGUGCUGUUCCCUGGCAACACCAUAGACUACACUAUGCACAACUCUUUUAAGAGCCAUCCACAUUGCAAUAAGAGUAUUCUUCCAUUUCCAAGCUAUGUCAACUACAGUUAUUCAAUUUCCAGUUUCUCUCCCUUUGAUUUCUACUUCUCAGGUGAGGGUGCUGUUCAGAAUAAGGGGGAUGUCUAUACAAAAACAACAGGCGCUUAAGAGUCACCCAUAUUGAAUGUAGAACAACUAGACACCCUACAACCCAAACCUACAGUACACACUCGUGUAUCAAUCUUAUUGAUGGAUUGUGUUGUGCAUAUAAAGUACUCUGCAGCCACUCCGUGUGGGACACCAGGUUAUAUCAGCUGUGUCGGUGAACCCCUCCAGCUUGUGAACUGCCUGACACAGAGGGCACAGCAUGAUCAGAGGUACUGUAUGUUUUGAUGUGAGAGAGGAUGCCAACUCCCAGUCCUGUCAUUGCCACCUCACGGGCCUACUGGGUGCCCAAGGCUGGUUAGGAAACACCGCUAGACACUUAUGUAAUUGUGUUGACCUGAGAGAAUAUGAAGUUUAGUAGCACUAUAAUUCAUUCAUCAUAUGCUAUCUUCCCUGCUCCUCAGUUCUUAACUCUUCCCCUUUGUCUUUUACACUCUCACACCUCUCUCCCAAACUUCUUUCUUCCUGUGUUUUUAUAAUUCAUACCAGAUGUGCAUUGAAGUACAG